Molecule: ribosomal RNA, 372 nt
Filed under: uncultured organism
Description: partial 16S ribosomal RNA
Rfam family: Bacterial small subunit ribosomal RNA
Source: RNAcentral
GUAGGUGGCAAGCGUUGUCCGGAAUUAUUGGGCGUAAAGCGCGCGCAGGCGGUCCUUUAAGUCUGAUGUGAAAGCCCACGGGCUCAACCGUGGAGUGUCAUUGGAAACUGGGGGACUUGAGUACAGAAGAGGAAAGCGGAAUUCCACGUGUAGCGGUGAAAUGCGUAGAGAUGUGGAGGAACACCAGUGGCGAAGGCGGCUUUCUGGUCUGUAACUGACGCUGAGGCGCGAAAGCGUGGGGAGCAAACAGGAUUAGAUACCCUGGUAGUCCACGCCGUAAACGAUGAGUGCUAAGUGUUAGGGGGUUUCCGCCCCUUAGUGCUGCAGCUAACGCAUUAAGCACUCCGCCUGGGGAGUACGGCCGCAAGGCUG